GAUGAACGCUGGCGGCGUGCCUAACACAUGCAAGUCGAACGGACUAAACUGAAACCUAGUGAUGUUUAGUUAGUGGCGGACGGGUGAGUAACGCGUGGGUAACCUGCCUCACACUGGGGGAUAACAGUUAGAAAUGACUGCUAAUACCGCAUAAGCGCACAGUACCGCAUGGUACCGUGUGAAAAAGCCGAGACGGUAUGAGAUGGACCCGCGUCUGAUUAGCUAGUUGGUGGGUAACGGCCCGACCAAGGCGACGAUCAGUAGCCGACCUGACGAGGUGACCGGCCACGACUUGGGACUGAGACACGGCCCAAA
RNAcentral lists this ribosomal RNA (315 nucleotides) under uncultured bacterium. RNAcentral's name for it is "bacterial SSU rRNA". It matches the Rfam family "Bacterial small subunit ribosomal RNA", at positions 28 to 335 of the family's 1533-position model. The record is from RNAcentral.